This 322-nucleotide ribosomal RNA is filed under the name uncultured Sandona. RNAcentral describes it as "SSU rRNA". The stretch from base 112 to 322 matches the Rfam family "Eukaryotic small subunit ribosomal RNA", at positions 744 to 955 of the family's 1831-position model. RNAcentral also lists the same sequence under 1 other name. The record is from RNAcentral. Lineage: Eukaryota; Cercozoa; Glissomonadida.
GAUUUCUGGCUUCAAACAUUUAGCCGGCCACGGUUUCGUGUGUUAGUGUUAGAUGUUGUGGCCAUCCUUCCAAUUGCUAUUGGCUUAUCUUCAUUGAUUGGUCAGUAGUAUUGGAUCUUUUACUUUGAAAAAAUUAGAGUGUUUCAAGCAGGCUUUAUGCUAUGAAUACAUUAGCAUGGAAUAAUAAUUUAGGACUUCGGUUCUAUUUUGUUGGUUUCUAGGACUGAAGUAAUGAUUGAUAGGGAUAGUUGGGGGUGCUAGUAUUCAGCGGCCAGAGGUGAAAUUCUCGGAUUCGCUGAAGACUAACUUAUGCGAAAGCAUU